CUCUAUCAAGAAGCGCGGUCGCAACUCGGCCUGUUGUCUUUUUUUCUGAAUGAACGAAAAGCGAAAGAGACCGAGCUGUUUUUAUUUACGCGAGUUAGCGAGUUCAAACAUAACGAGAUUAUUAGAUCUCAGUAACGGCUGAACCGAUCAAGUUCUGAGUAGACUCAAUCGAUAGCUUGGGAAAAACUGCAUAAUAAAAGUGUUUUUAUUUUUUCUCUCUGUGCGCUACGUGCCGAGAUAUCGCGACGCAAAUUCAAAUCUCGUCGUUUUACAUGUUAAGAAACGUCGUCAUUAUUAUCGUCGUCCUCGAAUCUUGUCUAGUACAUCUUUUUGACACAGAGUGGCCGGUGGCGCUCGCUACUAUACUAUAAGCCCGCAUACGAGCAUGUGAUGCAUCACGUGACUGAUUACUGCGAUAUGACAAGUUUCUUAACCUAUAACCGGAAAUCGGCAAUAAUAUCUCGGUUUGCGAGGCAGACGACACUUUUUUUGCCGAUUAUCACCAAGAGAAUCUUGUCCCGUACACAUUUUCGACACGGAGUGAUGCUUGUUAUAGCCGUUUUAUGUGAUCAUGGGUGCGUUCCGUUUCACGUAUAAUAACAUAUAAAAUAAUAUGCGAUGCAUCAUUUAUCCUUGUUGUUCAACUAAAAAAUAACUAACGUUAAAUGAGGAUAUAUAAAGAAUUAUGCAAGUCAUACGUGAUACCGAACGCACCUCAAGUGAUGUGAUGUAUGAAUCAUAUGACCAAAUUUAUGAUUGCCGAUAUGAGAGAUUAUCUGGCCUGAAAAGUCAACAACAUCUCGUUUCGCGAAGCAAAAUGACACUUCUCCUGCCAGAUUCGUUCAUUUCGUGUAAAAACGCCGAAUCAGCCUAAGUUCAUCAAUACCGAAGAUGAAGAGUAUAAGAGUACUGGUGCCUAUAGCGGCCAUUAUUAUUAUGAUAAUUGUCAUUUUCUUCACCCUCAAAAGCGUACUUUAAUGGAUGAGUUGAUGGAGUUUAUGAAUUUUAUUCCAAUGGAACAUAAUAAUAAUGUAGGAGAACGCAGAUAAAAAGGAUUGACGACUUUUACUAGAAGUUGCAGAAUUCCAAGAUCUUGGCCAAUUUCAUCGAAAAAUUAAAUCUCCAGAAAAUGCAGAAAUUAAUCGAUAAUCUAUGUGGAAGUCAGAUUUACAAAAAUUUUAUCACGAUGACCAGAGAAGACAUUUGUAUUUCAGGAACUUACAAAACUUUGGUUUAGAAUAUUGAGUUUCCAUAUUAGUACAAUGACAUUAGAAUAGAAAAAUAAAUGUUUAAAGCAUGUAAAAUAUUUUACAUAUGUACUUUAAAUAAGUAUUUUUCUAUUUUUUUAAUGUCAUACGCUGACGUAAUAAAACCACAGAAUUCAUGAAUUAAACUACUAUUUUCUUAAAAUUUCAAAUAAUUUUAUUGUUUUAUAAAUAAAUUAUUUUCAUAAAAUUGAAUUAAAUCAUUUAAAUAAAUAACACAAAAAUAUGUUUAGAGAAACGCCAAAUCAAGACUAGAAUUUGCUACUUAAUAAAAAAUAUAUCUUAUAUUCUAUAAAUCACAGCUGCAUUAUAUUUAUAAAUAAGCAUGUUCCGAGAAAUAAAUUGUUUUUUAAGUGUUAUAUUGAAUAUCUCUUAUCUAAUGACGAAAAAAUUGUUAUCAAUGACAAACUCUUUUAAAUAUGUGUUUUUGCAAAUUUAAUGUAAUCACAGAGAUUAAUAUCAAUGGUCAAGAAAAAGGAAAUGUAAUUUUAUUAUGUAUCUUAAUAAACUUCAUGAUA
Molecule: long non-coding RNA, 1783 nt
Organism: Solenopsis invicta (red fire ant)
Lineage: Eukaryota; Metazoa; Arthropoda; Insecta; Hymenoptera; Formicidae
Exons: 3
Source: RefSeq, a predicted model, not a curated record